GUGACCCCAGGUCAGGCGGGACUACCCGCUGAGUUU
RNAcentral lists this ribosomal RNA (36 nucleotides) under Cuscuta natalensis. RNAcentral's name for it is "partial 26S ribosomal RNA". Lineage: Eukaryota; Viridiplantae; Streptophyta; Magnoliopsida; Solanales; Convolvulaceae. The record is from RNAcentral.